Molecule: long non-coding RNA, 1727 nt
Organism: Aedes albopictus (Asian tiger mosquito)
Lineage: Eukaryota; Metazoa; Arthropoda; Insecta; Diptera; Culicidae
Exons: 3
Source: RefSeq, a predicted model, not a curated record
GUUUACCCAUAAGUAGGUAGUUGAUUUACCUAUAUUUGGGUUUUGCAUGCGUUACUCAUAUUAUGGGUAAAAAUUACCAAGAAAAAUUGGUAAACUUUACUCAGAUUAUGAACAAAGUCAGUUUACUCAAAUAUGGGUAAUGUAUAGUUUACUCAUAUUUGGAUAAAAAUUAUAAAACCGAAUACGAAAACGUCGAACAAACAAAAGCGCGACUAAAUUUUAUAUUUUUUGCGGAAAAAAUCACGGUAAAGACGGUUCUGGAAGUUAUUUAUUUUGUUCAGUAAAGGCAAAGUUUUUGUUGACAGCCUCGGUCCGGCGAACUUCUGCCAGCGCUAUCGAUAUUCCCGGUGGCCAUCCCGGUGGUGGUAACACCGCCAAAUCCCGACAAAAAUUAGGAACAUGGGGUCUUCCACAGCACGAUAAACGAACUAUCGAAGGAAUACUUCCGUAACGAAAUCCUGCAGAGAGGAUAGUGUCAAACAUCGCUACGAACAAUAAGUGCUAUUUGAGAAACUUCCGGUUAUAAUCUGUGUGUAUAGGCGAUUCGUCGAACGGCCUGGGACGCUGCCUGAAACCAAUCAACCCGUUGUUUUUCGGCGAUGGCACCAUCAUCGGAACAAGCUGCGAUACUCUGCGAAUCACCGCAUAUUUAAUGUCCGGCGAGAAGAAUAUGAACUACCUCUGCUGCUUGGAAGCCUGCCCAUCUCCGAAAGCGAAAGGAACCCUUCGUGUCGCGCAGGAUUCUUAUGCCAAAGACACCCGACAACGUCGUUUUCCAACGCACCGGCAUCUAACACAAUGUAACCAGGGCGGAGCAUCAUCCGGAACAUCAACGGAUUUCUUCCGAGGAACACUGUCUGUAUGGAAGUUCUGUACAACUUUUCGAUUGUGUAUCUAUUCCGCCGCUGUUUUUCUUGAGGCAUCCAGGAUACAGAAACGACCACAUUUCAGGAACGCUUCUGCGCAGAGUUUUUGUAUGUUAUUCGAUUAACGAUCGAGGAAGUUAAUUCUCUAUCGUCACAAUAGAUCUAUCAACUGGUCGCAGUGACUUAGAUACCCAACAAGGAAUAAAAAAAAAUAAUUCUCUAUCGACGCCAAGCAAACAAACCAUGAAUGUGGAUGAUUGAUGUUCCGGACAUAAUGGGAAGUUUUAAGUUUUCGUUGGAUGCUGUGUACUCAGCUUCUUUGACAUCACCGGAGCAAAAUAAAUUGUGUGAUAUGUGUCUUUAUUAAAUAUGUUGUUUGUUUUUUUAGAAUGCCAUUUUAAAUAUUUGUGAGGAUCUCGGUGAGGAUUCCCAACAAAUUUCGCCUGAAGGAACAGCAAAAAAUUACUCAUAUUUGGGUACUUUCAUUUACCCAUAAUUCAGCAAAUGUCACUUACUCAAAUAUGGGUAAAGCCCCAUUACCCAUAAAAUGAGGUUGUGCACUUUUCGGCGAUUAUGGGUAAACUUUACUCAUAUUUGGGUAAACUGACCUUAGCGUGUAGGGUUUCCGUUUGAUCCCGGCAGAAAAUUGCAACCCAUCGCAAAGUUCUUUCUUCCUAGCGUUGACUUUCGAAGUACCCUAGUGGGUUGAAAUAAACCCACUUUUAGGUAAACGGCAAAAAACCCAAAUUUGGCUUCUCGCACGGACAUUAUCGGCUAUUAUUAUGCCUCUUAAGCACAGAUAACAGAUGUUUAUGCUAGUACAAAUUUUUCGCAGAAUCCUGUGUAAAUGUUCAAAACGAU